GGUGAACGCUAGCUACAGGCUUAACACAUGCAAGUCGAGGGGUAACGAGAGGAAAGCUUGCUUUCCUUGUCGACGACCGGCGCACGGGUGAGUAACGCGUAUCCAACCUGCCCCCAACUAGGGAAUAACCUUGCGAAAGUAAGACUAAUACCCUAUAAUUUCCUCAGAUGACAUCUGACGAGGAAUAAAGAUUUAUCGGUUGUGGAUGGGGAUGCGUCUGAUUAGCUUGUUGGCGGGGUAACGGCCCACCAAGGCAACGAUCAGUAGGGGUUCUGAGAGGAAGGUCCCCCACAUUGGAACUGAGAAACGGUCCAAACUCCUACGGGAGGCAGCAGUGAGGAAUAUUGGUCAAUGGGCGGAAGCCUGAACCAGCCAAGUAGCGUGCAGGAUGACGGCCCUAUGGGUUGUAAACUGCUUUUAUACAGGAAUAAAGUUAGCCACGUGUGGUUAUUUGUAGGUACUGUAUGAAUAAGGACCGGCUAAUUCCGUGCCAGCCGCCGCAGUAA
RNAcentral lists this ribosomal RNA (506 nucleotides) under uncultured bacterium. RNAcentral's name for it is "partial 16S ribosomal RNA". It matches the Rfam family "Bacterial small subunit ribosomal RNA", at positions 28 to 523 of the family's 1533-position model. The record is from RNAcentral.